This is a small nuclear RNA of Physeter macrocephalus (sperm whale), 105 nucleotides long. The record is from Ensembl. NCBI's taxonomy places the organism in Eukaryota, Metazoa, Chordata, Mammalia, Artiodactyla, Physeteridae.
GCUUGCUUCGGCAAUGAAUACACUCAAGUCGGAAUGAUACAGAGAAGAUUAACAUGGUCCCUGAGCAAGGAUGACACGCACAUUUGUGAAGCGUUCCAUGUUAAA